CGCCAUGACGAGCACCAUUCUCCUCGUAGGAACGCGCACCAGCCGGGCGGCCGCAUGGGUCGCCGGAAGCAAGCUGGUGCGCGAAAAACAGGCCCUUCCGGGGCCUUUUUAUUGGCCGAAA
RNAcentral lists this small RNA (121 nucleotides) under bioreactor metagenome. RNAcentral describes it as "Rhizobiales sRNA Atu_C8". It matches the Rfam family "Rhizobiales sRNA Atu_C8". The record is from Rfam by way of RNAcentral.